Molecule: long non-coding RNA, 1780 nt
Organism: Anolis carolinensis (green anole)
Lineage: Eukaryota; Metazoa; Chordata; Lepidosauria; Squamata; Anolidae
Source: Ensembl
CUUUGGUUCAGGCGGGAAGAGGGUGGGCGGCCCUUCUUGGCCGUGGGGGGUUUCCUCAUCGACCGCUUUCCUAUGGGCAGCGGCUUCUGCUCCGGAGAGAGGGGGGUGGGGGCCUCCUCCUCCUCCUCCUCCUCCUGCUGCGACCUCUUCCUCAUGUGCAGGACGGGGCCCUCCACCUCCUUGAUGCUCUCGAUGGGCAGCUUGGCCUUCACAGCUUUCCAGACAGUUCAGACAGGGGUCCUCAAAGCCUUGGAGGCCAUUUCGUGAAUUUCCUGGAAGUCUGCUCGCUCCAAGGCAAGCUGCUCCAGGGCUGCCGGGUCUUCUCCGAAGGCUCAGUAGCUGAUCCAGUUCAUCUCCCGGAGGGCGGUGGGCAGGCGCAGCAUCUCCUGGUUGAACAUGGUGCUUAUAUUCCCCUGCAGGUUCUUGAAGUCCGCCCUGAGUUACUCGAUGCGGCUUUGAACUUCUUGGUCAAAGGCCUUGAGGAACGCAUCGCUAUGUUUGUCCCUGAAGGACAUCUAUCUUGCUUGAUGCCUUUGACCUUUUCUUCUUUGAAGGAGCCAUUGUUGGAAGGCGAGUCAGAAAGAUCUAUUCCUGUGAUUUCAAGGAUCCAAUUAGCAAAAGGAGGACCAUUCACAAACAAGCUUGGUUGGAAAUGGCUAUAUUUGCUUUUAUCUCUACAGAAAAGAAAAUCUUACUGCCGUUUUCCCAGUCACCUCUUCAUUUUAUCCCCAUGCACCCCACCCCCCCUUCUCAGCUUUCCACUUUCCAAAAGUUCCACAACUUGGUCUCCAGUGCCAGCUGCUGGCCCCAGGAUGUCAUGGAGAGAAUUUAUGAUGUCUCCGGGACAUCAGAAAUUGAUACCUGACAGGAUUCCUCCCCUAAAAAAAAACGAACACCGGCAGCAUCGACCUUGACAAGGAUUUGUAGGGUAAUUUCCAUGAAAACCCUGAAUCAACUUGGAUGCCCAAACAUCUGCUGCCCUCACCCAUUCAAAGUCAUUGAUAGGUCGCCACUUCACUUCAAUAACUUGGAGUAUAGUUGUGCCUGUCUUAGUCUUUGUAAUACUUGUUUCAUUAAUGCGAUGUGUUCUUCCAGUAUUGUGAAUAAAUUAAUGUGUCAUUCAAGUAAACCAAAAUUCCCUUUACAACUGUGUAGGACUUCAUUUAUCAUCUGCAUGAACACUCGAGAAGCCCCAGUCAAACCAAAUGGUAACACGUUGUACUGGAAAGCCCCCAGUGGACAGUUACAUGCCAUCUUCCAUUCAUCUCCUUUUCUUAUUCUAACCUGAAAAUAGGCCUCUCUUAAAUCCAAUUUCGUAAUACAUUUCCCUUUGAUAAAUGUCCCAACAUAUCUUUCACUAGAGGCUAGGAUACUGAUUUGAAAGACAUAUGGUCUGUAACAUUGGUACAAAAUCUCAAAGUGCCAUGUCUCCAGAAUGUAGAAAUUGAUUCCUGACAUUUACACAUUUUUUCUGUUUUAACUUAGAGUGUAAACUGCAGAAUACAAAUCAAAUUAUCAAAUAAAUAAAUAUUGGUUAGACAACUUUUCCUUGACAAAAUAGAGACAUCAGAGCCAAGCAUAACCCAAAUAUAACGGAACAGUUUGUAACAGGAAAGAAGAGGAAUGCUUGUGCGGAUGUAUCCUUUAGUCUUUAAAACUUUGCAAGAAAGCUAUUACUGGGUUGCUGUGAGUUUUCUGGGCUGUAGGGUCAUGUUUCAGAAGCAUUCUCUCCUGAUGUUUCGCCCACAUCAAUGGCAGGCAUCCUGAGGUGUGAGGUCUU